This 301-nucleotide ribosomal RNA is filed under the name uncultured bacterium. RNAcentral's name for it is "partial 16S ribosomal RNA". It matches the Rfam family "Bacterial small subunit ribosomal RNA", at positions 509 to 807 of the family's 1533-position model. The record is from RNAcentral.
CAGUCGCCGCGGUAAUACGGAGGGUGCAAGCGUUAAUCGGAAUUACUGGGCGUAAAGCGCACGCAGGCGGUCUGUCAAGUCAGAUGUGAAAUCCCCGGGCUUAACCUGGGAACUGCAUUUGAAACUGGCAGGCUAGAGUCUUGUAGAGGGGGGUAGAAUUCUAGGUGUAGCGGUGAAAUGCGUAGAGAUCUGGAGGAAUACCGGUGGCGAAGGCGGCCCCCUGGACAAAGACUGACGCUCAGGUGCGAAAGCGUGGGGAGCAAACAGGAUUAGAUACCCCGGUAGUCCCUGUCUCUUAUAC